GCAGGUCUUUCAGCUUCAGAAGCAACAGCAGCAACAGCAGCAACAGCAACAGCAACAGAACCACAACAUGGCUGCUGCCCGAAGUAAAAACCCAAACCCAAACGCAAACCCGCCCUCAGGUAAUGGGGGUGCUGCCUACCCUGACCACCUAAUAACUUCAUCUUCAUCCAUGGCUGCCAAAUUUCCAAACUCUCUUUCUUCUUUCCCACAAAACUUAGUCCAAACCAGCAACACCAGUAGCAGCCCGGUUCAAUCCCCGCAAUGGAGAAACUCAGUAAGGGGUCCCGCCACAUCGUCUCAACCACCAACCACCUCCUCCCUCAAAAACCUCCAUCAAUCCCAACACCAACAGCCUAACCGAUCCUCCCACCCGCAAUCACACACUCAGAUUUCCUUCGGUGGUGCCGCCAGUCAGAAACUACCUUCCACCACCUCAUCACAUCAACAGAAUCCUAGUAGCAAUAGUAAUAAUAACCAGUCACCUUCACCACCAAUGUUGGUUGGCUCUCCGACAACAUCUUCCAUUUCUAAAGGUGGUGGUGGUGGUGGAAGUCCGAGAACAAAUGUAUCGGCUUCCACAAGUGGUAGGACUCCCCAGGCUUCUUCUCUAUCCUCAUCACAACAAGCUAAAAACUCUCCUGCAACGCAAAGAUCUUCACCUUCAAUCCUUGGUAACCCCCAUGUCACAAACUCAGGUUCUAACAAAUCUCAGCAGCAACAACCACAGCAGCUACAGAAGCAAACAUUACAGCAACAGCAACAGCAACAGCAGCAACAUGCCCAAGCCCAAGCGCAAGCGCAAGCCCA
Molecule: long non-coding RNA, 807 nt
Filed under: Lactuca sativa (garden lettuce)
Lineage: Eukaryota; Viridiplantae; Streptophyta; Magnoliopsida; Asterales; Asteraceae
Description: long non-coding RNA (LSAT_LNC005929)
Source: RNAcentral